GGUAGCGUGGCCGAGCGGUCUAAGGCGCUGGUUUUAAGCUUCGGAGGCGUGGGUUCGAAUCCCACCGCUGCCA
Molecule: non-coding RNA, 73 nt
Organism: Penaeus monodon (black tiger shrimp)
Lineage: Eukaryota; Metazoa; Arthropoda; Malacostraca; Decapoda; Penaeidae
Source: the annotation of a RefSeq genome assembly